GGUGGUGGAUAACCGGCGCCAGAUAGAUGAGACACGAGUGCUUCAUUAUGACCCGGAAACACUCACAGUGCUGCUGAGAAGAGGAAUGACUGUGGACUUCCACAUAGAGUGUGAUCAAUCUAAGGAAGUUCGCAUACUGCUAUGUUUGGAUCUGUGUGUGUCGUCAGCUGACACCAUGACUGCAGCAUCAGCGCUGGAGAUUGGACCUCCUUUAAACACCGCCAGGAGAAUCAUUGUGAGCCCCGUCCUCAUACCGCUGCUCUUCAUCAUCCGCUGGUGUUACUGACACACACGCAUGUACAGUUGAAGUCAGAGUUAUUCACCCCCCUGUUAGUUUUUUU
Non-coding RNA from Danio rerio (zebrafish), 341 nucleotides. The record is from RefSeq and is a predicted model, not a curated record. Lineage: Eukaryota; Metazoa; Chordata; Actinopteri; Cypriniformes; Danionidae.